CUUCAGCUGGCUGUUUGAAAUAAAAACCUAAGCUGUCCCUGUGGAGAUGAUGAAAUGUAGGUCUAUAUUUAGGUGGAUCCAGCCUGAUUGAACAACUCUAUUCCAAGGUCCUUGGGGCUAGUGGUCAUCUCAUGACGGAAGUUCUAAUUGUCACGUCCUUUUGAAACCAAGGCUGCAUCUCAGAUCACACUGGGGACCACACAGGACCCUGAACCCAAGAACCUUGAGAAUAACAGUGCUUCCAGCCCAGCGCCCUCAGCCAUCAUCUUGCGAAGCAGCCCCUGUGGAGAUGCAUCCCAGCCAUGGCUCCUGCAGGUGCCAAAGUCACAGCUCCUGAAGACCCCCAAAGAAGAU
Phascolarctos cinereus (koala) is the source of this 354-nucleotide non-coding RNA. NCBI's taxonomy places the organism in Eukaryota, Metazoa, Chordata, Mammalia, Diprotodontia, Phascolarctidae. The record is from RefSeq and is a predicted model, not a curated record.